This 492-nucleotide ribosomal RNA is filed under the name uncultured bacterium. RNAcentral's name for it is "partial 16S ribosomal RNA". It matches the Rfam family "Bacterial small subunit ribosomal RNA", at positions 30 to 507 of the family's 1533-position model. The record is from RNAcentral.
AUUGAACGCUGGCGGCAGGCCUAACACAUGCAAGUCGAGCGGAUGAAUGGGGAGCGCUCUCUGCUGCAGGUGGCGACGGGCGGGUGAGUGAUAAGUACAUAACUAUCUUAUAUGUCUAGGGUCAUUAAGUGGGGCCUCAUACACUAUUGGUCCAUAGGUCGAACGGGUGGGAUCAUGGGAUCUUACGACUUUUGCUGACCCUAUGAGACGUUGUCGGGUUAGCUAGUUGGUGGGGUAAAGGCCUACCAAGGCGACGAUCCGUAGCUGGUCUGAGAGGAUGAUCGGCCACACUGGAACUGAGACACGGUCCAGACUCCUACGGGAGGCAGCAGUGGGGAAUAUUGGACAAUGGGCGAAAGCCUGAUCCAGCAAUGCCGCGUGGGUGAAGAAGGUCUUCGGAUUGUAAAGCACUUUUAUUUGGGAAGAAGAGCAGUAGGUUAAUACCUGGCUGUUUUGACGGUACCCAAAGAAUAAGCACCGGCUAACUUCGUG